This 1198-nucleotide long non-coding RNA is filed under the name Dicentrarchus labrax (European seabass). RNAcentral describes it as "lncRNA (ENSDLAG00005033589.1)". The record is from RNAcentral. Lineage: Eukaryota; Metazoa; Chordata; Actinopteri; Moronidae.
GCUAAGUGUUCUCAAGUUAUUAUCAUUGAUGCCAUGUGGCAACGUUUCAUGUAUUUGCUAAAAAGAUGCUAAAAACCAUUUGGAAUAGUAUACUUUGAAUAGUGAAACGUGUUUUAUUAGAUACAAUGUUGAGAAAAAGAUAAAGAAUAAAGUUUAAUUUCAGAAGAAACAACAUGCAGGUGGCCAAAAAUAUGCAUGUGCUCCUACAGGCUACAAAUUGUGAAUACCUAAAUUGGUCCUAAUACAGUAGCAGAGAAGCUAACACAUUUGCUAGCUCAACAGGCCAGUAUACAGUACUGACAUUAAAUGUGAUCAACAGGUCUCAGGUGGAAGCAGGAGGGCGCUCGGCUGCCGCAGAGAUCUGCGUCCAGUCCCAGCUGCGUAAAGCUGGAUACAGAAGGCCACAAUAAAAGCACCUAAACAUGUGUUUUGGUUUCAAAAUAAAAGCCCAGAUAUCUCUCUUGCCAAAUAAGAAAAGAUGUACAAACGGUACACUUGGACAUGUGAGCAGCGGGAGGUGGGGAUCGAACCGCCAACCCUGUGGACGACCCGGUCAGUCGCACCGACAUAGACAGGAUGCUCAUAGAAGUGAGCCAACUCGCCAUUAAGCACAUUUCAUGUAUGAUUAGUCAUUAUUGUGGUUUGAUAUUAUGUUAUGUUAGUAAUAUAACCUCAUUAAUGUUCCCACGGGCUCUGAACCGUUGACGCUGUAUAUAAACGUACGUCAACGUCUACAACGUCUGUGUGACACGAGCGCCCUCUCGCGGGGCCCCUGCAGAGUUGAUUGGUGAUCCCCAAACUCUUCUAACUGCCGUUACCGAGUGCAGGCGGUCUGUAAUGUACGUUAAUGUCAAAAUACUGUAGCGUUACAGGUUGUUUUUGUUGGUAAAAAUGUGUUUUAUACAAGUUGUACGUUAGACGGGGACUUCAAAUCAUAUAUUUAACAAAUUAUUGUCGGUGACUUUGCUAACUUUGACUUGUAUUAACGUUAGUUUUCACAAUUUUCCGUCGUGUAGUUAAGUUAGCUAACUAACCAACCACUUUUCAAUUCACACCACAGUAAUCAUAGAUGUUCUUUAAUUUGAAUCGUAUUUAACUUAUUAACUAGCAUUUCCGUAAUACGUUGAUACGCAAUGCAAGUUUUAUUUUGAAGGUUGCAUCCGGAAGUGGCACUAGUUAUCCUUAAACUGACUUUAAC